This is a non-coding RNA of Triticum urartu, 135 nucleotides long. Lineage: Eukaryota; Viridiplantae; Streptophyta; Magnoliopsida; Poales; Poaceae. The record is from Rfam.
AACAUACUCUCUCCGCUCCAAAUUACUUGUCUUGGAUUUAUCCAGAUAUGGAGGUAUCUAGCACUAAAAUGAGUCUAAAUACAUCUGUAUCUAGACAAAUCCAAGACAAGUAAUUCGGAACGGAGGGAGUAGAAG